RNAcentral lists this long non-coding RNA (1211 nucleotides) under Meriones unguiculatus (Mongolian gerbil). RNAcentral's name for it is "lncRNA (ENSMUGG00000020644.1)". Lineage: Eukaryota; Metazoa; Chordata; Mammalia; Rodentia; Muridae. The record is from RNAcentral.
CCCACCAUGACAGUCUUUUUACCAUAGGCCAAUCGAUAGGAACAAGUAACCUUUUACACUGUGGAACUCUGCAGCUUUUGGCCUGCUGACAAUGUUUUGGCACCGGCAUUUCUCAAACAUUCCCAGGACAGACUCUAAUCUGUCUUCCGCCUGCGGCAAGCUCUCAACAUGGUCUGCUCUGGAUUCCAGGUUUUGCCUCAGCUCUUCUAUCACAAUCCCUACUUAGCAUGUGGAGCUUCGGCAAUCUGAGGUCCCACUGGGCUUCCUGCUGUUCUUAACUGACCACGUGACCCACUCACACAGUCUCCCCAUGUGCACAUACAUGUGCAGGUUCCCAUGGCACAGGCCUCCCCUCUGCACCUCCCUGAAGGAAUGGUGCCAUCCCUACCUACUGGAUGAGGUGGACGUGGCCCCAGAGAACAACCAGCCAGAAGCACAAGGAAAAGUUACACUUCAGAAGCAGAAGCCCCAGCCCUGAUGGAGCCAUACCAGUGAGAAGCUGGAGCUGCGGGAGCUGUUCUCAGACACCCAAGUGUCCCCAUCAUGUCACUAUGAAAGGUUCUCAUCGUCCUGCUGGCCUGCUCUAUAGCCUCCAUUUGCUCCCUGCUAUUCAGAUCCCAUGUGUGGCCUCUGUGUUUUAGAGCAUCUUCAUGCUAUUCGGUAUGUAUUUCAAAGGAUAGGGACCAUUAGAUCACACCUGGUGCCCACGGAGAAGCAGCCCCAGGUCUCCUCAACUGGCUGUAUGGCACCGUGUGGGUACUGGAGGUGAAACCAGAUCCUGUUUAAGAACACUCAGUGCCCUUAACCAUUGAGCCAUCUGGCCAGGCCCAUCUCUCUGUAGCUGUUCCUGGAAGCCCUGACCUUACUGCGUGAAGAAAGCAGGAGAGACUUGGAGAGGGCAAAUCCUACACCUCCCUGACAUCAGGCUGUCUUGAGGGGCCUACAGUUGGGUAUGAAGCUGAUGCAGACUUAAAGAGUCAAAAGGUCACUUGGUUUGGAUAGUGGUCGGGGUGGAAUGGACAGGGAACAGAUAUGGAUGGCUGAGUUGUCAGACAAGCACAGGAAAACAGGCCUGAAGAAGAGGAUGGCUCUUAAGAUAGGACUGAAGGUUAUGUUGCAAGGCAGCAAAAGGCAAAGAGUGCUGUGUGGGAGGCCACACCAGAGUCCCAGGUCCAUAGUCCCAGGUAAUAAAUUACUUGGGUUUGGAACCA